GAUCCAAAGAUUUGACAUUCCAUCUCCAUCGGAGUAACUGACAUAGAUAUCUGCCGAAGGAACCCCCAGUGCUUGGUUUUGUGGGGAUCCAAGAUGAAGGACAAUAAAAGUAGCCGGUUGCUAUGUGUUGUUAUUGUGAGGAGUGGUCCAUGUAGGAUCGCAAAAAUAGAUUGAAAUUUUCAGUCCGUCUAAUCGCAAUAUAGAAACACGCUGGUACUACUCCAUUUGAAUUAAGACAGUUUGAGUGAAUGGUACGACUGCUGUAUUGUUAAAACAUAUGCCUACAGCUGCUGCUCGAGAUAAAAUGCAAGCAAAGAAAAAGGGAAAUUGAAACACGCGAGAUAAUAAAUAGAUAAACACAACAAACCAGAGAGGGGAAGCUAAAUUAAUAGGAAAACAAAUGCAUGACAAUUUUUCUCUUCCAAUCAUUCAACUCUCUUUGCAUGAACCAAAAAAGGUGAUAGCAACUUCACUUUCCCAUCAUCUAUCCAUCUCAUCGCGAUUAUCAUCUCUCACAACGGGGAGUUUCGCCUCGAAUUUGAAAACAACGUAAUAAACCGGGCAAGAGGGCAAAAGAAUAAACGGUUAAAAUUUGGCCGUUGUUUAAUAGACGAGAGAUAGACAUACGAAAAAUACGAAAAAAUACUUAAAUAUUAAAUCAUCCGAUUUCCCAUGGCUCGCAAAACUUUAAAAAAAAAGAAAGAAAUAGAAAAAAACUAAUAUGCGAAACAUUUCUGAACAAGUUGAAAAACUCAAGAAAUUAAAUAAACUAAAAAAUGGAAAUCCCUCUUGCCCUGUCGUGUCAUCGGUCGGUAGACCAUAUUUCCCUCCUACUGUUGUUGUUGCUGCUGCCUGAACUUGGGCCUCCAUGCCUGCGUUCCGCUAGCGGGUGGGUUAGAACCCUCGCGACUCUCAGGCGCAGGUGAGGACGGUGCUGGACUUCUGGAGAGUGAUUUGGGAGGAGGAACAGCUUCCCGGUUAAACCGUGGAGGCAUACGUUCAGGUACUCGCUCCGGCAUGCGUUCACCGUUGGCAGAAAUAUCCCGGCCAGCAACGGCCCGUCGCUGUGGAGGAACAUAUCCGCCUGUUGUCCGGGG
This 1097-nucleotide small RNA is filed under the name Histoplasma capsulatum var. duboisii H88. RNAcentral's name for it is "Histoplasma capsulatum H88 hypothetical RNA". Lineage: Eukaryota; Fungi; Ascomycota; Eurotiomycetes; Onygenales; Ajellomycetaceae. The record is from RNAcentral.